CAGAAUAACUGGAAGCUCCCCCCAGGCUAAGCGGGGCCUCCCACAAAGUGCAGAAGAUGAUGGAGGAAGGGAUGGGGUACAGAAGCAGAAGUCAUGUCUGCCCGACGGUGCUGACGUAAGGUGGUCACUCUUGGGAUGUCCAUCCCCUUUAGUUAAAUGGAAUGGGACAACACGCCCAAGACCUACCCUGAACAUUCCCAGGACUCUGAGUUGCUUUAAAAUAUGCUUUUGU
This 232-nucleotide long non-coding RNA is filed under the name Homo sapiens (human). RNAcentral's name for it is "HSALNT0245512". Lineage: Eukaryota; Metazoa; Chordata; Mammalia; Primates; Hominidae. The record is from RNAcentral.